Molecule: ribosomal RNA, 433 nt
Filed under: uncultured bacterium
Lineage: Bacteria
Description: partial 16S ribosomal RNA
Rfam family: Bacterial small subunit ribosomal RNA
Source: RNAcentral
AACGAACGCUGGCGGCAUGCCUAACACAUGCAAGUCGAACGAGACCUUCGGGUCUAGUGGCGCACGGGUGCGUAACGCGUGGGAACCUGCCCUUAGGUUCGGAAUAACUCCCCGAAAGGGGUGCUAAUACCGGAUAAUGUCUUCGGACCAAAGAUUUAUCGCCUUUGGUUGGGCCCGCGUUGGAUUAGCUAGUUGGUAGGGUAAAAGCCUACCAAGGGGACCAUCCAUAGCUGGUCUGGGAGGAUGAUCAGCCACACUGGGACUGGGACACGGCCCAGAAUCCUACGGGAGGCAGGAGUGGGGAAUAUUGGAAAAUGGGCGAAAGCAUGAUCCAGCAAUGCCGCGUGAGUGAUGAAGGCCUUAGGGUUGUAAAGCUCUUUUACCCGGGAUGAUAAUGACAGUACCGGGAGAAUAAGCUCCGGCUAACUCCGUG